AGAUAAGAUAACUCAUAUUGGAGAGAAAUCUUACAAGUGUGAAUAAUGUGGUAAAGUCUAUAAAAAGUCCUGAAUUCUUAACAGACAUAAUAUUAUUCAUACUGGAGAGAAACUCUACAAACCUGAAAGAUGUGCCAACGCUUUUGACAAACAUCAAGAAAAUCAUGCUGCUGAGAAAUCCUAGAAAUGUGAAGAAUGUGACAAAGCCUCUAAAUGAUUGUCACACUUGAUCGUAGGUAAGAUAAUUCAUACUGGAGAAAACUACCAGUGUGAACAAUGUGGCCAAGCUUUGAACUAAUGCUCACACCUUAAUGCAUAGGAAAGCAUUUAUGCUUGAGAAAAAGUGAACAAAUAUAGACAAAAAGCCAUUAAUACCUGCUCACAUCGUACUCAAAUUCAGAGCGUUCAUACUAAAUAAGAAGUGUAAUUACUGUCAAACGACUGAUCAGAAAAUAUGUCUUUAAAGUACAGAAGAGUAUUUUGAAAAAGCAUUACAAAUAUGAAGAGGCAUUAUUUAUGACCUUUUCUAUGGAAAGACGGAGUCUUGCUCCAUCGCCAGGCUGGAGUGCAGUGGCGCGAUCUCGUCCCACUGCUCACUGCAACCUCUGCCUCCCCUAUUGAAGUGAUUCUCCUGUCUCAGCCUCCUGAGUAGCUGGGACUACAGGCACACACCACCACGCUCAGCUAAUUUUUGUAUUUUCAGAAGAGACGGGGUUUCAUCAUAUUCACCAGGCUGGUCUUGAUCUCUUGACCUCGUGAUACCCUCACCUCACCCUCCCAAAGUGCUGGGACUACAGGCGUGAGCCACCGCACCCAACCAAAUCUAUACAUUUCAAUGAAGGAUUUAAUUUAUUUAUAUUCAAGGUAAAUAUUAAUAUGUAAGGUUUUGUUACUAUCAUAAUGUUAAUUAUUUUCUUGUCUUAUUUUUUUAUCUGUCUUUGUAGUUUAAUAAAAUUCUGUCAUGUUGUGAUUUGA
This 975-nucleotide long non-coding RNA is filed under the name Homo sapiens (human). Its description in RNAcentral is "non-protein coding lnc-ZNF91-4:2". Lineage: Eukaryota; Metazoa; Chordata; Mammalia; Primates; Hominidae. The record is from RNAcentral.